UUGGAGUAUGCCUAGUCUGUCCUUGCCUCC
This 30-nucleotide non-coding RNA is filed under the name Rattus norvegicus (Norway rat). Lineage: Eukaryota; Metazoa; Chordata; Mammalia; Rodentia; Muridae. The record is from RNAcentral.